Molecule: non-coding RNA, 93 nt
Organism: Crucibulum laeve
Lineage: Eukaryota; Fungi; Basidiomycota; Agaricomycetes; Agaricales; Nidulariaceae
Source: the annotation of a GenBank genome assembly
UCCUUCUUAGCUCAGUUGGUAGAGCGCGUCACUAGUAUCAUUUAUCGCUGAUUAAUUAUGACGAGGUCAGUCGUUCAAGUCGGCUAGAAGGAA